CAGAAUCCUGACAAUUUCCUAUUUCCAUGCCCUGUUCCCCCAACACUCAAAGCUGAGACCAUCUUCCUCCUGCCUCUCCCCACCAUGGGCUCCACGCUCCUCUGCUGUGUGGUCUUUUGUCUCCUGGGAACAGGCUCCAUGGAUACCGGUGUUACCCAGACCCCAAGAAAUAGGAUCGCAAACACAGGAAAGAGCAUUGUACUGGAAUGUUCUCAGACUAAGGACCAUGAGUCUAUGUACUGGUAUCGACAAGACCCAGGACAGGGGCUCCGGCUGAUCUACUCCUCCUACGAUAUCAAUGGUAUUAACAAAGGAGAUGUCUCUGAUGGGUACAAUGUGUCUCGUAAGGAGAAGGCAAAAUUCUCCCUCUACCUAGAGCCUGCUACCCCCAGCCAGACGGCCAUCUACUUCUGUGCUAGCAAUAUGGCCAGCAACGCCGCGCAACUGUACUUUGGAGCUGGUUCCAAGCUGACUGUGCUGGACGAUCUGAGCCGGGUGCACCCACCCAAGGUGGCUGUGUUCGAACCCUCGGAAGCAGAGAUCGACCGGACCCAGAAGGCCACGCUCGUGUGCCUGGCCACGGGCUUCUACCCCGACCACGUGGAGCUGACCUGGUGGGUGAACAGGAAGCAGGUCACCACUGGGGUCAGCACGGACCCUGAGCCCUACAAGGAGGACCCCACGCGGGAGGACUCCAGAUACUGUCUGAGCAGCCGGCUGAGAGUGACCGCCGCCUUCUGGCACAACCCCCGCAACCACUUCCGCUGCCAAGUCCAGUUCCACGGGCUCACGGACGAGGACAGGGCCAAGCCCAUCACCCAGAACAUCAGCGCCGAGGCCUGGGGCAGAGCAGACUGUGGUGUCACCUCCGCGUCUUAUCAGCAAGGCGUCCUCUCUGCCACCCUCCUCUAUGAGAUCCUGCUGGGGAAGGCCACCCUGUACGCUGUGCUGGUCAGCGCCUUGGUGCUGAUGGCCAUGGUCAAGAGAAAAGAUUCCUGAAGCCAGCUUAGAAGUGGAGCCAGGAGCUUCCAGCCUGUUGCUGCCCUGAUGUGAGUUCUGCUUUUCCCAUUCCUACCCAGCGCUUCUGAAGAGCUGCCCUCAUCUCUGGACUCAGCCCAGCGUCCACUCCCAUAUGUGGGUGCCCCAAACUCUCAGGACCAGGAUCUCCCUAACCCAGGGGAGACCCUAGGGGGACUGAACUUGCUGAACCAAUAAAAAUGGCCUGUUGUGUUUUCA
Cervus elaphus (red deer) is the source of this 1236-nucleotide non-coding RNA. NCBI's taxonomy places the organism in Eukaryota, Metazoa, Chordata, Mammalia, Artiodactyla, Cervidae. The record is from the annotation of a RefSeq genome assembly.